AUUACAGAGCGUGAGGUCCAGUCGUGGCGUCUGCCGCGUGCUGGGCCGACCCUCCCACCCGUGUCGAUAUGUAUCUUGUUGCUUUGGCGGGCCGGGCUGUGUCGUCGCUGCCCGCAAGGACAUGCGUCGUCCGCCCACCGGUUUCGGCUGGAGCGCGUCCGCCAAAGACCUAAUCAAAACUCAUGUUGUCUAUGUAGUCUCAGCUUUAUUAUUAAAUUGAUAAAACUUUCAACAACGGAUCUCUUGGCUCUGGCAUCGAUGAAGAACGCAGCGAAAUGCGAUAAGUAAUGUGAAUUGCAGAAUUUAGUGAAUCAUCGAAUCUUUGAACGCACAUUGCGCCCCUUGGUAUUCCGAGGGGCAUGCCUGUUCGAGCGUCAUAACACCCCCUCCAGCUGCCUUUGUGUGGUUGCGGUGUUGGGGCACGUCGCAGUGCGGCGGCUCUUAAAAAUAGUGGCGGUCUCGGCGUGGGCUCUACGCGUAGUAACUUGCUUCUCGCGACAGAGUGACGACGGUGGCUUGCCAAAACCUCUAUUUGUUCCAGUCACAUGGAUCACAGGUUGACCUCGAAUCAGGUAGGAAUACCCGCUGAACUUAAGCAUAUCAAUAAGCGGAGGA
RNAcentral lists this ribosomal RNA (615 nucleotides) under Erysiphe paeoniae. RNAcentral describes it as "eukaryotic LSU rRNA". The stretch from base 224 to 377 matches the Rfam family "5.8S ribosomal RNA". The record is from RNAcentral. Lineage: Eukaryota; Fungi; Ascomycota; Leotiomycetes; Helotiales; Erysiphaceae.